AGCGAACGCUGGCGGCAGGCUUAACACAUGCAAGUCGAACGGACCCUUCGGGUUAGUGGCGGACGGGUGAGUAACACGUGGGAACGUGCCUUUAGGUUCGGAACAACACAGGGAAACUUGUGCUAAUACCGGAUGUGCCCUUCGGGGAAGAUUUAUCGCCUUUAGAGCGGCCCGCGUCUGAUUAGCUUGUUGGUGAGGUAAAGGCUCACCAAGGCUACGAUCAGUAGCUGGUCUGAGAGGAUGAUCAGCCACACUGGGACUGAGACACGGCCCAGACUCCUACGGGAGGCAGCAGUGGGGAAUAUUGGACAAUGGGCGCAAGCCUGAUCCAGCCAUGCCGCGUGAGUGAUGAAGGCCUUAGGGUUGUAAACUCCUGUCAGCAGGGAAAAAGCAAAUCGGCCUAACACGCCGGUGAGUUGAUUGUACCUGCAGAGGAAGCCCCGGCUAACUCUGUGCCAGCCGCCGCGGUAAU
This 472-nucleotide ribosomal RNA is filed under the name uncultured bacterium. RNAcentral's name for it is "bacterial SSU rRNA". It matches the Rfam family "Bacterial small subunit ribosomal RNA", at positions 29 to 524 of the family's 1533-position model. The record is from RNAcentral.